GUGGGGAAUAUUGGACAAUGGGCGCAAGCCUGAUCCAGCCAUGCCGCGUGUGUGAUGAAGGCCUUAGGGUUGUAAAGCACUUUCGCCGAUGAAGAUAAUGACUGUAGUCGGAGAAGAAGCCCCGGCUAACUUCGUGCCAGCAGCCGCGGUAAUACGAAGGGGGCUAGCGUUGUUCGGAAUUACUGGGCGUAAAGCACACGUAGGCGGACAUUUAAGUCAGGGGUGAAAUCCCGGGGCUCAACCCCGGAACUGCCUUUGAUACUGGGUGUCUGGAGUAUGGAAGAGGUAAGUGGAAUUCCGAGUGUAGAGGUGAAAUUCGUAGAUAUUCGGAGGAACACCAGUGGCGAAGGCGGCUUACUGGUCCAUUACUGACGCUGAGGUGCGAAAGCGUGGGGAGCAAACAGGAUUAGAUACCCGUGUAGUCC
RNAcentral lists this ribosomal RNA (425 nucleotides) under uncultured bacterium. Its description in RNAcentral is "partial 16S ribosomal RNA". It matches the Rfam family "Bacterial small subunit ribosomal RNA", at positions 354 to 796 of the family's 1533-position model. The record is from RNAcentral.